Long non-coding RNA from Hippocampus comes (tiger tail seahorse), 266 nucleotides. RefSeq lists it as uncharacterized. Lineage: Eukaryota; Metazoa; Chordata; Actinopteri; Syngnathiformes; Syngnathidae. The record is from RefSeq and is a predicted model, not a curated record. The transcript has 3 exons.
AAGUCCUGUCCGGGACAUCCACGAGGUUCUGCUGGUGACCGUCUUUGACGAGGACGGAGACAAAGCUCCAGACUUCUUGGGGAAAGUGGCCAUUCCUCUACUCUCGAUCCGAAGUAGGCAGCAGAUCAUCAUGCCCCUGAAGAAGGACGACCUGGGCAGCCUCAUCAAAGGCAACAUCACGCUGGAGCUGGAGAUCAUUUACAAUCCCGUCCGAGCCAGCAUAAGAACAUUCCAACCCCGGGAGAUAAAAUUCAUGGAAGAUAAUC